UACGGAGGGGGCGAGCGUUAUUCGGAAUUACUGGGCGUAAAGCGUGCGCAGGCGGUUAUGUAAGACAGAGGUGAAAUCCCUGGGCUCAACCUGGGAACUGCCUUUGUGACUGCAUAGCUGGAGUACGGCAGAGGGGGAUGGAAUUCCGCGUGUAGCAGUGAAAUGCGUAGAUAUGCGGAGGAACACCGAUGGCGAAGGCAAUCCCCUGGGCCGGUACUGACGCUCAUGCACGAAAGCGUGGGGAGCAAACAGG
Molecule: ribosomal RNA, 253 nt
Filed under: uncultured bacterium
Lineage: Bacteria
Description: partial 16S ribosomal RNA
Rfam family: Bacterial small subunit ribosomal RNA
Source: RNAcentral